This 338-nucleotide ribosomal RNA is filed under the name uncultured Prevotella sp. RNAcentral describes it as "bacterial SSU rRNA". It matches the Rfam family "Bacterial small subunit ribosomal RNA", at positions 8 to 338 of the family's 1533-position model. The record is from RNAcentral. Lineage: Bacteria; Pseudomonadati; Bacteroidota; Bacteroidia; Bacteroidales; Prevotellaceae.
AGAGUUUGAUCCUGGCUCAGGAUGAACGCUAGCUACAGGCUUAACACAUGCAAGUCGAGGGGCAGCAGAUCGAAAGCUUGCUUUUGAUGCUGGCGACCGGCGCACGGGUGAGUAACGCGUAUCCAACCUUCCCUAUAGUAGAGAAUAGCCCGGCGAAAGUCGAAUUAAUGCUCUAUGUUGUAUUUAGAGGACAUCUGAAGAAUACCAAAGGUUUACCGCUAUAGGAUGGGGAUGCGUCUGAUUAGGUUGUUGGCGGGGUAACGGCCCACCAAGCCGACGAUCAGUAGGGGUUCUGAGAGGAAGGUCCCCCACAUUGGAACUGAGCCAUGAUCAAACUC